This 253-nucleotide ribosomal RNA is filed under the name uncultured bacterium. RNAcentral describes it as "partial 16S ribosomal RNA". It matches the Rfam family "Bacterial small subunit ribosomal RNA", at positions 524 to 776 of the family's 1533-position model. The record is from RNAcentral.
CACGUAGGGUGCGAGCGUUGUCCGGAAUUAUUGGGCGUAAAGAGCUCGUAGGUGGUUUGUCGCGUUGUUCGUGAAAUCUCACGGCUUAACUGUGAGCGUGCGGGCGAUACGGGCAGACUAGAGUACUGCAGGGGAGACUGGAAUUCCUGGUGUAGCGGUGGAAUGCGCAGAUAUCAGGAGGAACACCGGUGGCGAAGGCGGGUCUCUGGGCAGUAACUGACGCUGAGGAGCGAAAGCGUGGGGAGCGAACAGG